CAGCAGCCACGGUAAUACGUAGGGGGCAAGCGUUAUCCGGAAUUACUGGGUGUAAAGGGAGCGUAGACGGUUAAACAAGUCUGAAGUGAAAUGCCGGGGCUCAACCCCGGAGCUGCUUUGGGAACUGUAGAACUGGAGUGUCGGAGGGGUAAGCGGAAUUCCCAGUGUAGCGGUGAAAUGCGUAGAUAUUGGGAGGAACACCGGCGGCGAAGGCGGCUUACUGGACGACAACUGACGCUGAGGCUCGAAGGCGUGGGUAGCAAACAGGAUUAGAUACCCCAGUAGUCCCUGUCUCUUAUAC
This 301-nucleotide ribosomal RNA is filed under the name uncultured bacterium. RNAcentral describes it as "partial 16S ribosomal RNA". It matches the Rfam family "Bacterial small subunit ribosomal RNA", at positions 509 to 807 of the family's 1533-position model. The record is from RNAcentral.